Molecule: ribosomal RNA, 492 nt
Filed under: uncultured bacterium
Lineage: Bacteria
Description: partial 16S ribosomal RNA
Rfam family: Bacterial small subunit ribosomal RNA
Source: RNAcentral
AGUGAACGCUGGCGGUAGGCCUAACACAUGCAAGUCGAACGGCAGCACAGUAAGAGCUUGCUCUUACGGGUGGCGAGUGGCGGACGGGUGAGGAAUACAUCGGAAUCUACUUUUUCGUGGGGGAUAACGUAGGGAAACUUACGCUACUACCGCAUACGACCUACGGGUGAAAGCAGGGGAUCUUCGGACCUUGCGCGAUUGAAUGAGCCGAUGUCGGAUUAGCUAGUUGGCGGGGUAAAGGCCCACCAAGGCGACGAUCCGUAGCUGGUCUGAGAGGAUGAUCAGCCACACUGGAACUGAGACACGAUCCAGACUCCUACGGGAGGCAGCAGUGGGGAAUAUUGGACAAUGGGCGCAAGCCUGAUCCAGCAAUACCGCGUGGGUGAAGAAGGCCUUCGGGUUGUAAAGCCCUUUUGUUGGGAAAGAAAAGCAGCAGGUUAAUACCCCGCUGUUCUGACGGUACCCAAAGAAUAAGCACCGGCUAACUUCGUG